Non-coding RNA from Parelaphostrongylus tenuis, 72 nucleotides. Lineage: Eukaryota; Metazoa; Nematoda; Chromadorea; Rhabditida; Metastrongylidae. The record is from the annotation of a GenBank genome assembly.
GACCUCUGUGGUGCAGUGGUAGCACACGCCUCGGCAUGGGUGAAACACGGGUUCAACUCCCGCCUAGGAUCG